UACGGGGGGGGCAAGCGUUGUUCGGAAUUACUGGGCGUAAAGGGUGCGUAGGCGGCUUUCUAAGUUGGAUGUGAAAACUCUGGGCUCAACCCAGAGCCUGCAUCCAAAACUGGAGAGCUAGGGUUCUGGAGGGGAAAGCGGAAUUCCUGGUGUAGCGGUGAAAUGCGUAGAUAUCAGGAGGAACACCGGUGGCGAAGGCGGCUUUCUGGACAGAUACCGACGCUGAGGCACGAAAGCGCGGGGAGCGAACAGG
This 253-nucleotide ribosomal RNA is filed under the name uncultured bacterium. Its description in RNAcentral is "partial 16S ribosomal RNA". It matches the Rfam family "Bacterial small subunit ribosomal RNA", at positions 524 to 776 of the family's 1533-position model. The record is from RNAcentral.